Molecule: ribosomal RNA, 433 nt
Filed under: uncultured bacterium
Lineage: Bacteria
Description: partial 16S ribosomal RNA
Rfam family: Bacterial small subunit ribosomal RNA
Source: RNAcentral
AACGAACGCUGGCGGCAUGCCUAACACAUGCAAGUCGAACGAGACCUUCGGGUCUAGUGGCGCACGGGGGGUUAACGCGGGGGAACCUACCCUUGGGUUCGCUGUAACUCCCCGAAAGGGAUGCUAAUAACGGUGAAGGUCUUAGGACCAAAGAUCUCUCGCCGUUGGAUGGGGGCGGGUUGGUUUAGCCAGUUGGUAGGGUAAAAGCAUACCAAGGGCGGGUUGCAUAGCUGGUCUGAGAGGAUGAUCUGCCACACUGGGACUGAGACACGGCCCAGACUCGUACGGGAGGGAGCAGUGGGGAAUAUUGGACGAUGGGCGAAGGCCUGAUCCAGCAAUGCCGGGUGAGUGAUGAAGGGCUUAGGGUUGUAAAGCUCUUUUACCCGGGAUGAGAAUGACAGUACCGGGUGAAUAAGCUCCGGCUAACUACGUG